CUAAUUCAUAUUGUAGAGCCUGUAACC
This 27-nucleotide small RNA is filed under the name Bombyx mori (domestic silkworm). RNAcentral's name for it is "ovarian small RNA-14609". Lineage: Eukaryota; Metazoa; Arthropoda; Insecta; Lepidoptera; Bombycidae. The record is from RNAcentral.